CCUACGGGAGGCAGCAGUGGGGAAUAUUGCACAAUGGGGGAAACCCUGAUGCAACAACGUCGCGUGAGUGAAGAAGUAUUUCGGUAUGUAAAGCUCUAUCAGCAGGGAAGAAGAUGACGGUACCUGAGUAAGAAGCCACGGCUAACUACGUGCCAGCAGCCGCGGUAAUACGUAGGGGGCAAGCGUUAUCCGGAUUUACUGGGUGUAAAGGGAGCGUAGACGGUGAGACAAGUCUGAAGUGAAAGCCCGGGGCUCAACCCCGGGACUGCGUUGGAAACUGCCUGACUGGAGUGCUGGAGAGGCAGGCGGAAUUCCUGGUGUAGCGGUGAAAUGCGUAGAUAUCAGGAGGAACACCGGCGGCGAAGGCGGCCUGCUGGACUGAAACUGACGUUGAGGCUCGAAAGCGUGGGGAGCAAACAGGAUUAGAUACCCCUGUAGUC
This 440-nucleotide ribosomal RNA is filed under the name uncultured bacterium. RNAcentral's name for it is "partial 16S ribosomal RNA". It matches the Rfam family "Bacterial small subunit ribosomal RNA", at positions 338 to 795 of the family's 1533-position model. The record is from RNAcentral.